This 72-nucleotide transfer RNA is filed under the name Candida albicans. RNAcentral describes it as "tRNA-His". It matches the Rfam family "tRNA". Rfam says of the family: Transfer RNA (tRNA) molecules are approximately 80 nucleotides in length. Their secondary structure includes four short double-helical elements and three loops (D, anti-codon, and T loops). The record is from RNAcentral. Lineage: Eukaryota; Fungi; Ascomycota; Pichiomycetes; Serinales; Debaryomycetaceae.
GGUAGCUAUAAUUCAAGGGUAGAAUUCCCGUAUGUGGCACGGUCAAUCUGAGUUCGAAUCUCAGUAGUUACC